AACACCGCUAGACUGCGUUACACCUUCCUCAGACCCUGCGACCUACCCAUUACUUAAUUUAUUCAUAAUAAUCGUUUUAUUUGCAUUCACUGGACAUCUUCCAUCUGCCAGACCCUGGGCUGUAUGAUCUGCAAUAAUAACUUUACCCAUUCUCCAUAAGAAUCUGUGAUGUAGGAUUGAUUGCUCUCCCCAUUUUAUGGCCAAAGAAACUGAAGCAAGAUAUUGUGAUGCCCAGCAAGCAACGAUAAACUUGACAUAAUAUACUGUGGUAGAAAUCAAAUGUAAGGCUAAUUUUACCUGUCAAGGAGUACUUCAAAAUAUGUCUUCUUCAGACUUGUUAUAUUACUGUAUCUGUAUAACUAGAAGUCAGAGAUUCUCAGCACAGAGAAUUUUUCCUAAUGAGCUAUUUUGGUGGGUCCAGAAAGAUAUUUGAAGUGAAACAGAGGAUGAAAGAAAGAGACACCUUUUCUCCAUUGACUGAUGGAGGCAGAUGCAGAGAUCCACAGCCAAACACCAGGCAAAGCUCCAGAAGUCCAGUAGGAGAGGGAGGAGCGAUUCUUCUAUGAGCAAGAGCAUCAGGAUCAUGAUGGGGAAACCUGCACAGACAACCAAACCAAACUAGUGAGAACUCAUGAAAGUUGGAUCAAUGGCUACGGAGCCUGCAAGGGACUGGACUAGGCCCUCUGCACG
This is a non-coding RNA of Peromyscus maniculatus bairdii (prairie deer mouse), 690 nucleotides long. The record is from RefSeq and is a predicted model, not a curated record. Lineage: Eukaryota; Metazoa; Chordata; Mammalia; Rodentia; Cricetidae.